This 337-nucleotide unclassified non-coding RNA is filed under the name soil metagenome. RNAcentral's name for it is "partial contains 5.8S ribosomal RNA, internal transcribed spacer 2, and large subunit ribosomal RNA". The stretch from base 1 to 120 matches the Rfam family "5.8S ribosomal RNA", at positions 35 to 154 of the family's 154-position model. The record is from RNAcentral.
GAUGAAGAACGUAGCGAAAUGCGAUAAGUAGUGUGAAUUGCAGAAUUCAGUGAAUCAUCGAAUCUUUGAACGCACAUUGCGCCCCUUGGUAUUCCAUGGGGCAUGCCUGUUCGAGCGUCAUUUGUACCUUCAAGCUCUGCUUGGUGUUGGGUGUUUGUCUCGCCUCUGCGUGUAGACUCGCCUCAAAAUAAUUGGCAGCCGGCGUAUUGAUUUCGGAGCGCAGUACAUCUCGCGCUUUGCACUCAUAACGACGACGUCCGAAAGUACAUUUUUACACUCUUGACCUCGGAUCAGGUAGGGAUACCCGCUGAACUUAAGCAUAUCAAUAAGCGGAGGA